RNAcentral lists this ribosomal RNA (366 nucleotides) under uncultured organism. RNAcentral describes it as "bacterial LSU rRNA". It matches the Rfam family "Bacterial large subunit ribosomal RNA", at positions 2099 to 2465 of the family's 2925-position model. The record is from RNAcentral.
CUUUACUGCAACUUGACGUUGGAACUUGGCUGUAUUUGUGUAGGAUAGGUGGGAGACUUUGAAGUAGUGCCGCCAGGUAUUACUGAGUCGUCGUUGAAAUACCACCCUGGUGCUGACGAGUUUCUAACCGCACCCGUAAGCCGGGUGUGAGACAUCGUCUGGUGGGCAGUUUGACUGGGGCGGUCGCCUCCUAAAAGGUAACGGAGGCAUUCAAAGGUCCCCUCAGCGUGGUCGGUAAUCACGCGCAGAGUGCAAACGCAUAAGGGGGCUUAACUGCGAGACCGACAGGUCGAGCAGGUACGAAAGUAGGAGUUAGUGAUCCCGCGGUUUAGCGUGGAAUUGCCGUUGCUCAAUGGAUAAAAGGUA